Molecule: ribosomal RNA, 464 nt
Filed under: uncultured bacterium
Lineage: Bacteria
Description: partial 16S ribosomal RNA
Rfam family: Bacterial small subunit ribosomal RNA
Source: RNAcentral
GAUGAACGCUGGCGGCGUGCUUAACACAUGCAAGUCGAACGGAAAGGCUCCUGCUUGCAGGGGUCCUCGAAUGGCGAACGGGUGAGUAACACGUGGGUGAUCUGCACUGCACGUCGGGAUAAGCCUGGGAAACUGAGGCUCAUACCGGGUAGGACGAUGGGGUGGAUGCUAUGGUGGAGAGUUUUUCGGUGGGGGAUGAGCUCGCGGCCUAUCAGCUUGUUGGUGGGGUAAUGGCCUACCAAGACGUCGACGGGUAGCCGGCCUGAGAGGGUGUACGGCCACACUGGGACUGAGAGACGGCCCAGACUCAUACGGGAGGGAGGAGUGGGGAGUGUAUCACAGUGGGCGCAAGCCUGAUGCAGCGAGGCCGCGUGGGGGAUGACGGCCUUCGGGUUGUAAACUCCGUUCGCUAGGCACGAAGCGCAAGUGACGGUACCGGGAGAAGAAGCACCGGCUAAUUACGU